GGCCCCAUAGCUCAGUGGAUUAGAGCGUUCGCCUCCGGAGCGAAAGGUCGUGAGUUCGAGCCUCACUGGGGUCACCA
RNAcentral lists this transfer RNA (77 nucleotides) under Coriobacteriaceae bacterium. Its description in RNAcentral is "tRNA-Arg". It matches the Rfam family "tRNA". From Rfam's summary of the family: Transfer RNA (tRNA) molecules are approximately 80 nucleotides in length. RNAcentral also lists the same sequence under 1 other name. Lineage: Bacteria; Bacillati; Actinomycetota; Coriobacteriia; Coriobacteriales; Coriobacteriaceae. The record is from RNAcentral.